GAAUGCCUCAUGAAGACUGGAGUGAUGCUGCCACAAGCCAAGGAAAUACCAAGCCUAGGAGAUGGCCUGGAACGGAUCCUUCCCUACGCCUUCAGAGGGAGCAUGGCCCUGCAGGCACCUUGAUCCUAGACUUCAAGAUUCCAGAACGGGAAAGCAUCUUAUGUGCAGGGGAGGAAAUUCCUAGAGUGGACAAAUAGUCAAAUUUAAAUUAAAAGAAAACUAUGCCAAGUGACAACUGCUCCAUUAUCGGCCACCUUGAAAUUGCCAUGUUGAAUACCACCAGGACCAGCUACUCCAGCUGCUUGAAGUCAUUGUAGACCAUGACCAGGGAGACCAUGGCUUCCACACAGAAGCUAAGCAGACCACGGUGAGACGGAGAUUUACUCUUGUUGCCCAGGCUGGAGUGCA
This 408-nucleotide long non-coding RNA is filed under the name Homo sapiens (human). RNAcentral's name for it is "HSALNT0323367". Lineage: Eukaryota; Metazoa; Chordata; Mammalia; Primates; Hominidae. The record is from RNAcentral.